RNAcentral lists this ribosomal RNA (484 nucleotides) under uncultured bacterium. Its description in RNAcentral is "partial 16S ribosomal RNA". It matches the Rfam family "Bacterial small subunit ribosomal RNA", at positions 30 to 507 of the family's 1533-position model. The record is from RNAcentral.
AUUGAACGCUGGCGGCAGGCCUAACACAUGCAAGUCGAGCGGAUGAAGGGAGCUUGCUCCUGGAUUCAGCGGCGGACGGGUGAGUAAUGCCUAGGAAUCUGCCUGGUAGUGGGGGAUAACGUCCGGAAACGGGCGCUAAUACCGCAUACGUCCUGAGGGAGAAAGUGGGGGAUCUUCGGACCUCACGCUAUCAGAUGAGCCUAGGUCGGAUUAGCUAGUUGGUGGGGUAAAGGCCUACCAAGGCGACGAUCCGUAACUGGUCUGAGAGGAUGAUCAAUCACACUGGAACUGAGACACGGUCCAGACUCCUACGGGAGGCAGCAGUGGGGAAUAUUGGACAAUGGGCGAAAGCCUGAUCCAGCCAUGCCGCGUGUGUGAAGAAGGUCUUCGGAUUGUAAAGCACUUUAAGUUGGGAGGAAGGGCAGUAAGUUAAUACCUUGCUGUUUUGACGUUAUCAACAGAAUAAGCACCGGCUAACUUCGUG